GCGUGUGUGAAGAAGGCCUUCGGGUUGUAAAGCACUUUCAGUUGUGAGGAAAGGUUGGUAGUUAAUACCUGCCAGCUGUGACGUUAACAACAGAAGAAGCACCGGCUAACUCCGUGCCAGCAGCCGCGGUAAUACGGAGGGUGCGAGCGUUAAUCGGAAUUACUGGGCGUAAAGCGCACGCAGGCGGUUUGUUAAGCUAGAUGUGAAAGCCCCGGGCUCAACCUGGGAUGGUCAUUUAGAACUGGCAGACUAGAGUCUUGGAGAGGGGAGUGGAAUUCCAGGUGUAGCGGUGAAAUGCGUAGAUAUCGGGAGGAACAUCAGUGGCGAAGGCGGCUCCCUGGCCAAAGACUGACGCUCAUGUGCGAAAGUGUGGGUAGCGAACAGGAUUAGAUACCCUGGUAGUCCACACCGUAAACGCUGUCUACUAGCUGUGUGUGAAUUUAAUUCGU
RNAcentral lists this ribosomal RNA (449 nucleotides) under uncultured Aestuariibacter sp. RNAcentral's name for it is "bacterial SSU rRNA". It matches the Rfam family "Bacterial small subunit ribosomal RNA", at positions 399 to 840 of the family's 1533-position model. The record is from RNAcentral. Lineage: Bacteria; Pseudomonadati; Pseudomonadota; Gammaproteobacteria; Alteromonadales; Alteromonadaceae.